AUUGAACGCUGGCGGCAUGCUUUACACAUGCAAGUCGAACGGUAACAGGUUAAGCUGACGAGUGGCGAACGGGUGAGUAAUGCAUCGGAACGUGCCCGAUCGUGGGGGAUAACGCAGCGAAAGCUGCGCUAAUACCGCAUACGAUCUGAGGAUGAAAGCGGGGGACCGUAAGGCCUCGCGCGAUCGGAGCGGCCGAUGUCAGAUUAGGUAGUUGGUGGGGUAAAGGCUCACCAAGCCAACGAUCUGUAGCUGGUCUGAGAGGACGACCAGCCACACUGGGACUGAGACCCGGCCCAGAAUCCUACGGGAGGCAGCAGUGGGGAAUUUUGGACAAUGGGCGAAAGCCUGAUCCAGCAAUUCCGCGUGCAGGAAGAAGGCCUUCGGGUUGUAAACUGCUUUUGUACGGAGCGAAAAGGCUCUCUCUAAUACAGGGGGCUCAUGACGGUACCGUAAGAAUAAGCACCGGCUAACUACGUGCCAGCCGCCGCGGUAA
This 493-nucleotide ribosomal RNA is filed under the name uncultured bacterium. RNAcentral describes it as "partial 16S ribosomal RNA". It matches the Rfam family "Bacterial small subunit ribosomal RNA", at positions 30 to 523 of the family's 1533-position model. The record is from RNAcentral.